Molecule: ribosomal RNA, 226 nt
Filed under: uncultured bacterium
Lineage: Bacteria
Description: partial 16S ribosomal RNA
Rfam family: Bacterial small subunit ribosomal RNA
Source: RNAcentral
GCGUUGUCCGGAAUCAUUUGGCGUAAAGCGCGUGUAGGCGGUUACGUAAGUCUGCUGUGAAAGUCGGAGGCUCAACCUUCGAAAGCCGGUUGAUACUGCGUGACUAGAGUACGGAAGAGGAGAGUGGAAUUCCUGGUGUAGCGGAGAAAUGCGCAGAUAUCAGGAGGAACACCAACGGCGAAGGCAGCUCUCUGGGACGUUACUGACGCUGAGACGCGAAAGCGUG